UCGGUAAGUCCCAUAACGAGCGCAACCCUAUCAUUAGUUGCCAUCAGGUCAAGCUGGGGACUCUAAUGAAACUGCCUACGCAAGUAGUGAGGAAGGUGGGGAUGACGUCAAAUCAGCACGGCCCUUACGUCCAGGGCUACACACGUGCUACAAUGGCCGGUACAAAGGGCAGCUACCUGGUGACAGGAUGCUAAUCUCAAAAGCCGGUCUCAGUUCGGAUCGGAGUCUGCAACCCGACUCCGUGAGGCUGGAAUCGCUAGUAAUCGCGCAUCAGCCAUGGCGCGGUGAAUACGUUCCCGGGCCUU
This 305-nucleotide ribosomal RNA is filed under the name uncultured Sphingobacteriales bacterium. RNAcentral describes it as "bacterial SSU rRNA". It matches the Rfam family "Bacterial small subunit ribosomal RNA", at positions 1074 to 1382 of the family's 1533-position model. Lineage: Bacteria; Pseudomonadati; Bacteroidota; Sphingobacteriia; Sphingobacteriales. The record is from RNAcentral.